Molecule: ribosomal RNA, 361 nt
Filed under: uncultured bacterium
Lineage: Bacteria
Description: bacterial SSU rRNA
Rfam family: Bacterial small subunit ribosomal RNA
Source: RNAcentral
AACGAACGCUGGCGGCAGGCCUAACACAUGCAAGUCGAACGCUCCGCAAGGGGGAGUGGCGCACGGGUGAGUAACACGUGGGAACCUACCUUCUGGUACGGAACAACCAAGGGAAACUUUGGCUAAGACCGUAUACGACCUCCGGGUGAAAGAUUGAUCGCCGGAAGAGGGGCCCGCGUCCGAUUAGGUAGUUGGUGAGGUAACGGCUCACCAAGCCUUCGAUCGGUAGCUGGUCUGAGAGGAUGACCAGCCACACUGGGACUGAGACACGGCCCAGACUCCUACGGGAGCCAGCAGUGGGGAAUAUUGGACAAUGGGCGCAAGCCUAAUCCAGCCAUGCCGCGUGAGUGAUGAAGGCCUU